Molecule: long non-coding RNA, 949 nt
Organism: Cimex lectularius (bed bug)
Lineage: Eukaryota; Metazoa; Arthropoda; Insecta; Hemiptera; Cimicidae
Exons: 3
Source: RefSeq, a predicted model, not a curated record
CAAAGCAAAUUCAAAAUACAAUUUUAAGGAUUAUAGGACAAAAUGAAAUGUGAAGAAUUUAAAUAAAUAAAUAAAACAAAAAAACGUAGAAACCAGAUAGUACUUUUUUGUUUUUAGAUGUCUUUCCACAGUUCAAAUCGUGGAAAGACAUAAAAAAACGGACUAUUUGACUUCAUUCCACGUCGUAUAAUACUUCAAAAUAGAAACCAGAGAUUUUUGGAAUACUAAAAUUAAGAAGAGGAGCUUCAUAAAUCUCCAAAAUCCAAUAUAAAACAAGGAGCAGGGGGUAAGAAAACCAAAUUUUUCCCUAAAAAAAUCUUCGAAUUUGAGGUUCAAGCAGUUGAACUUGGAAAAAUUUUAAAAAUGGGACUGCAAGGUUGCUCUCAAAUAGCAGGAUAACAUUUUUAAAAAAUUAUACAUUUGGAGUGCAUAACUCUUCUUUAAUCACUUGGUAAAAAUGAACAAUUUAUCGUGUUGAGAGUGAAUGUAUUUGUUAUCGUGAGUGUGUAGUGUGAGAGGGCCGAUGGCGGAAUAUUGAGUUAAUAUGAUGGUAAGGUUAGAGACGUUGCAGGGAGCUUGGAUAUUUUGCCUGAGGGCUUGUUAUUGGGAAGCUUGGUUGAAUAUUGGAUGACUUCGUGAUGCCACACAGUUCUCGUUGUGUGAUGACACCUGAAGCUACCACUGUUUCAACAAAGGUCUCCCCUUCCACGUUGCAGCAAAUGAGCUUGAAGCAGGGGCUCAUCCUGCUCAUUUAAGAUUCUUUAUGAUGUCAGGAUCUUACAAUGUCAAACGAGAAAAUUCAAAUUCUGUAAUGCAGGUAAUGAACGUGCGGAUUCGCUAUCCUGAUAACCAACGUUGUCCAACAUAAAAUGACAUAGCAAGUUAUUUGACCUUUGUACAUAAGAAGAAGAUUAAAAUUUGGCACAAUGAUUACAGUGAAACUGGAAAA